GGGUUUAACUCCUGCUUGUUACCGUUUCAUCCGAUCGGAACCGAAUGUCGUUUUGGUGUCUGAUUCGGUAAGGAACCGGGAGCACCAUCUGCGUAGGCUUUUGGUUUAAGGCUUGCGCCGCCUACGGUCUUGGAUAGCCCCCGCCAGGCAGGGACCCCAAUCUUUCAAUUGGCGCGAUCAUCACGCCA
This 188-nucleotide small RNA is filed under the name Pseudomonas baetica. RNAcentral describes it as "Pseudomonas sRNA P27". It matches the Rfam family "Pseudomonas sRNA P27". The record is from RNAcentral. Lineage: Bacteria; Pseudomonadati; Pseudomonadota; Gammaproteobacteria; Pseudomonadales; Pseudomonadaceae.